UACAGAGGUCUCAAGCGUUGUUCGGAUUCAUUUGGCGUAAAGGGUGCGUAGGUGGCGCCGUAAGUGGGGUGUGAAAUCUCGGGGCUUAACUCCGAAACUGCAUUCCAUACUGCGGUGCUCGAGGACUGGAGAGGAGACUGGAAUUUACGGUGUAGCAGUGAAAGGCGUAGAGAUCGUAAGGAAGAACAGUGGCGAAGGCGGGUCUCGGGACAGUUCCUGACACUGAGGCACGAAGGUCAGGGGAGCAAACGGG
RNAcentral lists this ribosomal RNA (253 nucleotides) under uncultured bacterium. RNAcentral describes it as "partial 16S ribosomal RNA". It matches the Rfam family "Bacterial small subunit ribosomal RNA", at positions 524 to 776 of the family's 1533-position model. The record is from RNAcentral.